RNAcentral lists this ribosomal RNA (474 nucleotides) under Escherichia coli. RNAcentral describes it as "bacterial SSU rRNA". It matches the Rfam family "Bacterial small subunit ribosomal RNA", at positions 332 to 799 of the family's 1533-position model. Lineage: Bacteria; Pseudomonadati; Pseudomonadota; Gammaproteobacteria; Enterobacterales; Enterobacteriaceae. The record is from RNAcentral.
CCUACUCCUACGGAGGCAGCAGUGGGGAAUAUUGCACAAUGGGCGCAAGCCUGAUGCAGCCAUGCCGCGUGUAUGAAGAAGGCCUUCGGGUUGUAAAGUACUUUCAGCGGGGAGGAAGGGAGUAAAGUUAAUACCUUUGCUCAUUGACGUUACCCGCAGAAGAAGCACCGGCUAACUCCGUGCCAGCAGCCGCGGUAAUACGGAGGGUGCAAGCGUUAAUCGGAAUUACUGGGCGUAAAGCGCACGCAGGCGGUUUGUUAAGUCAGAUGUGAAAUCCCCGGGCUCAACCUGGGAACUGCAUCUGAUACUGGCAAGCUUGAGUCUCGUAGAGGGGGGUAGAAUUCCAGGUGUAGCGGUGAAAUGCGUAGAGAUCUGGAGGAAUACCGGUGGCGAAGGCGGCCCCCUGGACGAAGACUGACGCUCAGGUGCGAAAGCGUGGGGAGCAAACAGGAUUAGAUACCCCGGUAGUCCGAA